Molecule: ribosomal RNA, 406 nt
Filed under: uncultured bacterium
Lineage: Bacteria
Description: partial 16S ribosomal RNA
Rfam family: Bacterial small subunit ribosomal RNA
Source: RNAcentral
AUUGAACGCUGGCGGCAGGCCUAACACAUGCAAGUCGAACGAGUGGCGGACGGGUGAGUAAUGUCUGGGAAACUGCCUGAUGGAGGGGGCUCACUACUGGAAACGGUAGCUAAUACCGCAUCCCAUCAGAUGUGCCCUGGUGGGAUUAGCUAGUUGGGGGGGUAACGGCGCACCAAGGCGACGAUCCCUAGCUGGUCUGAGAGGAUGACCGGCCACACUGGAACUGAGACACGGUCCAGACUCCUACGGGAGGCAGCAGUGGGGAAUAUUGCACAAUGGGCGCAAGCCGGAUGGAGCAAUGCCGCGUGUAUGAAGAAGGCCUUCGGGUUGUAAAGUACUGUCAGCGGGGAGGCGUUACCCGCAGAAGAAGCACCGGCUAACUCCGUGCCAGCAGCCGCGGUAAUAC